AGUGAACGCUGGCGGUAGGCCUAACACAUGCAAGUCGAACGGCAGCACAGUAAGAGCUUGCUCUUACGGGUGGCGAGUGGCGGACGGGUGAGGAAUACAUCGGAAUCUACUUUUUCGUGGGGGAUAACGUAGGGAAACUUACGCUAAUACCGCAUACGACCUACGGGUGAAAGCAGGGGAUCUUCGGACCUUGCGCGAUUGAAUGAGCCGAUGUCGGAUUAGCUAGUUGGCGGGGUAAAGGCCCACCAAGGCGACGAUCCGUAGCUGGUCUGAGAGGAUGGUCAGCCACCCUGGAACUGAGACACGGUCCAGGCUCCUACGGGAGGCAGCAGUGGGGAAUAUUGGACAAUGGGCGCAAGCCUGAUCCAGCCAUACCGCGUGGGUGAAGAAGGCCUUCGGGUUGUAAAGCCCUUUUGUUGGGAAAGAAAAGCAGCAGGUUAAUACCCCGCUGUUCUGACGGUACCCAAAGAAUAAGCACCGGCUAACUUCGUG
RNAcentral lists this ribosomal RNA (492 nucleotides) under uncultured bacterium. Its description in RNAcentral is "partial 16S ribosomal RNA". It matches the Rfam family "Bacterial small subunit ribosomal RNA", at positions 29 to 507 of the family's 1533-position model. The record is from RNAcentral.